CUCUCCUUUCCCCUUGUUCCUCCCCAGAGUGACUUUGAAGAUGACAUUUGUAUAUCUGAAUUAAAACCACAUUUGGCCGGUGCUGAGAAGGGAGGAGGCAGGGGCAGAAGAGAGAGAAAUCUUUUUGUUCUCUUCCUUGUCGUCCCCCCUCACCUGCCAGGGCCAAGCUCCAAAAUAAUUCCAAACAGCUGAGGUUAGCCAGGGACAUCUAAUCCCGGAAAGCUGGCUCUGAAUUCCAGCACCAGCACAUGGCAUUUGAAUUUCAACAACCAUUCACGUGUAAUUCCUCCAGACCUCUGAAGAAGUGUGAGUAUAUGCACAGGUAUGGGCUUAUUUAUAUAAAAAGAAAAAAAAACAAAUUCAUAAAUUGUAACCCAAAAGAUAUAAUGAUAACUGUGGCAACAUUCUUGUUUUUUAAAGCUAAGCAAGCUCAGGAACUGUUUUAAGGAUGUACUGGGGUCUUUUGAGUGUACCCUAAACCACCGUGACUAUAGGAUGUCCAAGAAUUGUGAUUCUCAACCAAAGGGAAGGCUGAGUCCUCUUUCCCUGAUUUCCUGUAAUGGAAAAAGACUGCUCUGUGCAAGUGGAGCUUAAAGGAUCUUGCUGAGACCUUUCCUGUUUGUUUACAGAAGGGGUACAAGGAGCAUCCUGGCAACACAACGGAGAGAAACCUCUCAGGGCAGAGCUACACCGAUAUGGGAGGAUGUGGCAGCAACAGGAUCACCCUGAGGGAAACACAUCUUUCCAGACAUGGAAAGCAAAGGGGACACGUUGGGAAACAAUAAUUGAUUAUUGUCUCACUCCUUGCGUUGGAUGAAUCCUGUGUUCUCUGAGUGAAGGCUAAUGAGCCAGCCUCCAUCCUUGACAAGAUCUGGAGCAAGGCAGUGGCUUCCACAGCUCCCCACAAAUUUCUGCAGUGCAAAAGGGCUGACCCACAACUCAAGCACCGUGGGGCCAAGCUUCCCAAGACCAUCUUCUUCGCAGCCGCUCUGUGUGGUGACAUCUUGGCAUCGUACAUGGAGAAGCGGUUUACAAGAGCCCCUAGGACUGACCAGAGAUCUCCACCAUGCCCCAGUCAUCCUCCUGUCACACUGCUGAUUCAACCAAUGCCCUCCCAAUCCUGCCCAUAGAGCAACUACAGGGGACAUGUGAUGCCACGGCAAGUACCCAGCCAGCAGCAGCGUGAACCGAUGCGCUCGCUAUUUAAUAUGCAGAGGAAAUGAGUCGCAACUAAGUUCAUUGCACACAUCCAUUACGUGAGAGAAGCAUCAAUAUUUCUGUAAAUCCACCAGGGAAUUUAUUCAUCUCAGCCUCCAGCAAUGGUGGAUUCCCCUGGUGACUAGUGCAAUUCGGAAGCGCGUACAGCCAUAAUGAGAAAGUACCGUGGUUUCCCUUAAAGUAAUAUAGUGGUUAUUGCUGAUAGUUACUGCCUUUGUGAAGUAUUAAUGCGUGGUUAUAGUGCAGUCAUGUAGCAAAAUUAUAGGGGCCUGUGGAAUGUUACUUAGCAACACUUGCUAAUGUUGAGGUGGUAAUGAAGAAAUGGAGUAAAAGAAAUACAGAGUAUAUUGGAGUCAUAAAAUAAACCAUGGUGUGGCUUCA
RNAcentral lists this long non-coding RNA (1599 nucleotides) under Calidris pugnax (ruff). RNAcentral describes it as "lncRNA (ENSCPUG00000019597.1)". The record is from RNAcentral. Lineage: Eukaryota; Metazoa; Chordata; Aves; Charadriiformes; Scolopacidae.